GACGAACGCUGGCGGCGUGCUUAACACAUGCAGGUCGAACGAAAAGGCCCUGCGUUUGUGGGUUUCUCGAGUGGCGAACGGGUGAGUAACACAUGAGUAACCUCCCCUUAUCUUUGGGAUAACUCUUGGAAACUGCGGCUAAUACCGGAUAGGAGCUCCUGCUCCAUGGUGUUGGUCAGAAAGUUUCGGCGGUUGGGGAUGGACUCGCGGCUUACGAGCUUGUUGGUGGGGUAGUGGCUUACCAAGGCUUCGACGGAUACCCGGCCUGAGAGCGGUACCGGCGACAGUGGGACUGAGAUAGGGACCAGACUGCUACGGGAGGCAGCAGUGGGGAAUAUGGCAGAGUGGGCGGGAGCGUGAGGUAGAGACGCCGCGUGCGGGAAGACCGCUUACGAGGUGUAAACCGCUGUCGCCGGAAACGAACAGGGAGUGACGGUAAUGGGUAAGGAAGCACCGGCUAACUACGUG
Molecule: ribosomal RNA, 468 nt
Filed under: uncultured bacterium
Lineage: Bacteria
Description: partial 16S ribosomal RNA
Rfam family: Bacterial small subunit ribosomal RNA
Source: RNAcentral